Molecule: long non-coding RNA, 630 nt
Filed under: Sus scrofa (pig)
Lineage: Eukaryota; Metazoa; Chordata; Mammalia; Artiodactyla; Suidae
Description: lncRNA (ENSSSCG00030019424.1)
Source: RNAcentral
ACCUUAUGUAUCUGCUCCUUGGAAGAUAUUUCAUUCCAAUUCAAUUUAUAUUUGUUUUCAACAGGGCAGCUUAGUCUCCCUUUUCCUCCUCUCAAGAAUAAGGGUGAUGUUGUCAGCCUCUCAGAUGGUUGAGAAAAUGACUUAGCCUAGUGCCUGACACCCAGAAACUGCUCCAUGUAAGCGCCCCAUCCCCGUUGCUGUUCCACUGGAGAGAAAUGGAAACAAGGCUGUGGUAAACGACAUGCUUGGAUUGCAGCUAGACCUUGCAGCUUUUCAGGGAAUUGCGCCACAGAAAUGGAUCUCAGCUCAUCUCCACGAGCUCAUCUGCAUACCACGCAGGUCGUCGCUGGGAGAAAGUGUGUCUUCAGAACGGACCGUGGUAAGACUUGGAAUAAGGAGUCAACCCCCGUUUCAUGCAAAGGAAACAUUGAAGCUAAGUAGGGAACUGGGCACAUUAACACCAUCUGGGUUAAUAAGGCCACUGUGGACAGAGUUUAAAAUUGCUUCCACAAUUAAAGAGCCUGAGGAAAUCUAUAUGUUUGGGUCUGAAUGAGGACGCAUCCAAUAGUGAUGAGGAUUCUCUGUUUCUCUAAAAAUAAAAAAGAAACAGGGUGGGGUGGGGGUGGGGGU